AUUGAACGCUGGCGGCAUGAUUUACACAUGCAAGUCGAACGGUAACAGGCCGCAAGGUGCUGACGAGUGGCGAACGGGUGAGUAAUGCAUCGGAACGUGCCCAGUCGUGGGGGAUAACUACUCGAAAGAGUAGCUAAUACCGCAUACGAUCUAUGGAUGAAAGCGGGGGACCGUAAGGCCUCGCGCGAUUGGAGCGGCCGAUGUCAGAUUAGGUAGUUGGUGGGGUAAAGGCUCACCAAGCCAACGAUCUGUAGCUGGUCUGAGAGGACGACCAGCCACACUGGGACUGAGACACGGCCCAGACUCCUACGGGAGGCAGCAGUGGGGAAUUUUGGACAAUGGGCGCAAGCCUGAUCCAGCAAUGCCGCGUGCGGGAAGAAGGCCUUCGGGUUGUAAACUGCUUUUGUACGGAACGAAACGGCUCUGGUUAAUACCCGGGGCUAAUGACGGUACCGUAAGAAUAAGCACCGGCUAACUACGUG
RNAcentral lists this ribosomal RNA (482 nucleotides) under uncultured bacterium. RNAcentral's name for it is "partial 16S ribosomal RNA". It matches the Rfam family "Bacterial small subunit ribosomal RNA", at positions 30 to 507 of the family's 1533-position model. The record is from RNAcentral.